Long non-coding RNA from Alosa sapidissima (American shad), 456 nucleotides. RefSeq lists it as uncharacterized. The record is from RefSeq and is a predicted model, not a curated record. The transcript has 3 exons. NCBI's taxonomy places the organism in Eukaryota, Metazoa, Chordata, Actinopteri, Clupeiformes, Clupeidae.
CUCUAUUGCCUGGCUUCAGGCAGCCUGAUAACCUCUUUCCUUCACCCUUAGUUCUGAUCAAUGAAAGUAGGCUUAUCAGAUCUAUGAACCUUGACCUUUGGAGUAAAACAAACAGUGAUGUGUCAGCAACUCAUCCAUGUUGCCCAGGAUGCCAAACGGAACACUUGGGAGCUUGUGGUUUCUACAGCAUUUGAGGCAGAGUUUCCAAACCCAGCCCUAGGCGUGUGUGUGUGUGUGUGUGUGUGUGUGUGUGUGUGUGUGUGUGUGCGCGCAGUGGAAGUGUAAAUCAAGACAGAACCUGUAACUGUCCCUGACUCAUCGAAGGUGGAAGAGCUAACGCUUAUGCCCUGUCUGAGAGUAUGUGGGAAAAUGUGCCAACUGCGAGCAUCUACAUGGGAGAUCAUGAAGAAUGUCUAGCUUUUAAUGUCAUUCCAAUGUAAUGUGUCAUGAGAGAAU